This 587-nucleotide ribosomal RNA is filed under the name Sporosarcina psychrophila. Its description in RNAcentral is "bacterial SSU rRNA". It matches the Rfam family "Bacterial small subunit ribosomal RNA", at positions 76 to 648 of the family's 1533-position model. The record is from RNAcentral. Lineage: Bacteria; Bacillati; Bacillota; Bacilli; Caryophanales; Caryophanaceae.
GAGCUUGCUCUCUGAUUUUAGCGGCGGACGGGUGAGUAACACGUGGGCAACCUGCCCUACAGAUGGGGAUAACUCCGGGAAACCGGGGCUAAUACCGAAUAAUCAGUUUGUCCGCAUGGACAAACUCUGAAAGACGGUUUCGGCUGUCACUGUAGGAUGGGCCCGCGGCGCAUUAGCUAGUUGGUGGGGUAAUGGCCUACCAAGGCAACGAUGCGUAGCCGACCUGAGAGGGUGAUCGGCCACACUGGGACUGAGACACGGCCCAGACUCCUACGGGAGGCAGCAGUAGGGAAUCUUCCACAAUGGACGAAAGUCUGAUGGAGCAAUGCCGCGUGAGCGAAGAAGGUUUUCGGAUCGUAAAGCUCUGUUGUAAGGGAAGAACAAGUACGGGAGUAACUGCCCGUGCCAUGACGGUACCUUAUUAGAAAGCCACGGCUAACUACGUGCCAGCAGCCGCGGUAAUACGUACGUGGCAAGCGUUGUCCGGAAUUAUUGGGCGUAAAGCGCGCGCAGGCGGCUCUUUAAGUCUGAUGUGAUAGCCCACGGCUCACCCGUGCAGGGUCAUUGGAGACUGGAGAACUUGAUUA